Peromyscus californicus insignis is the source of this 1937-nucleotide long non-coding RNA. RefSeq lists it as uncharacterized. The record is from RefSeq and is a predicted model, not a curated record. The transcript has 2 exons. Lineage: Eukaryota; Metazoa; Chordata; Mammalia; Rodentia; Cricetidae.
UCUCUAGUUUUCAAGUGCGCUCUCCCCUAACUCAAAGAAUAUCCCAGAGGUCGUCUCCUGGCCAGAUUAGAAUGGGGUAGGGGAGUCCUAACUCCCCUCAUUAGGAUUAGGGAGUGGUGACCCCCUGGCCACCUCUACACCACGCUGUUGUAACAGCCAAAGGACAGGAGCCGUUCAAGGCCCUAGCUUCGAAAUCUUCCACUAGGUGGCACCCCCCAACUCCGAGUGUCAAGGGGAGAUGAAUUUCCCAAAAGGUGAGCCAAUCGAGCUGCGGAGCAGGGAAAAGUGGCGGGGAGAGGCGGAAGUUAGCUCUCUCACCCUCCAGAAGGAAGUACGGUUGACACAAGCCAGGGAUUCGGCCACCACGCCCAGGUCCUGCUCCCAAUCCCUCUGAGCUCUGGGACCAAGGGCAGGAGAUCCCCACCCACCGCAAGCCACCGCGGAGACCAGUCGCCUGCACCAGAAUGAGAAAGAGCCAGGACCUGGAGACAGGGAUCAUGUGACUAGACAAUCAUAUGACACUAUGGCCCGCCUCCCCCGGAGCAGUGCUUGCUGGUUGGGCUGCUUCCCACCCCCACCCCCCGGGUCCUGGCGGCGCCUGGCGGGGUGUUCUGGAGAUGGAGCUUCGCGUGCCUAAGGCCACCGACAGUUAAGAGGGCUGCCUCCAGGGCGCGUGUUCAAGGUCGUUUACAGGAUAGCGUCCGCUUCUGGAUCGGGACAGUUGCACAUUCCUUGUCUUUUCACUCUAGGCAGCCGGGACUCGGAACAAGCUAGAUGGUUAUGAGGGUGAAGAUAAACAAUCCCUAGGUUUGGCUGGGAGACUAGCUUAGACUAAACCUAAUAAACGUUCAAGGGCGAGUACCAGGCGCUAUGGAUGUGUGUAGGGAGGAGGCAGGAGAUUGGCUCAAGGUGGGGGAAGGAGAGAUGUAGAUCGAUGUUGAACUAGCCAAGAGAUAGCGCCACACAGAGCUGAAUCUGGAAGACUUUUAAGAGGCUGGUUAGGCGGGCCUUAGGUGCUUAGGAAGAGGCUAGGAAACUAGAUGGGAAGUAUAGCCUCGAGCAAGGGUUGAAAGUCACAUUCAAGGUGAGGGCAUGUGGCGUGGGCUGGUGACUUGUCAAGGUGGAAGACGCUUCCUAGUUUCAGCUGCCCUCACCUUCCAGGAAUUGCCACGGUGGGUAAAUAGAUUUCAGCAGCAGAACAGACUAGCCAUAAACAAGAGUCAGGCUGCUGAGUGCUAAAGGGCCCCGGCCAGACAGAGACGCCUCCAGAGGCGUCUGGCUAGGAAGAGGACAGGCCCGAGGAAAGGCGGUUGUUUGUGUGAAAGAUAGGUCCCCCACGUGGAGCAAAGAGCUUGACUGGGAGGCCACUCAGGAGAAUCUAGGGUAAUUCUGCACCCCGAUGACAUUCGUAUAGGCGUCCCUUCUAGUAUCCCCAGACUAUAGCUUACACUUCAUGCUCAGGUAGGGGAGUUACUUUAACCAGGGCUUGGAAGCCAGCUCCAGCAACAUUGCAGCCCUGAGUCAGGGGUCGCCUGUGUUCCAGACUAGCCUCCGACUUGAUAUGUAGCUGAGGAUGAGCCAGGCCGUCUCAUUUCCCUUCCCCUACCUUCCAAGAGCUGGAACUUGGCAGCCAUGAUUAGUUUCUGUGGUGCUGGGAUUUAACCCAGAGCCUUGUGCAUGCUAGGCAAACGCUAUCAACUGAGCUGCAUCCCAGGCCCAGGACUGCCUCAUAAGAAAAUGGAAAAUGGAAAAUUAUAUUCUGGGGCUACGAAAAACCUAUUUCUUUUUGUUUGUUUGUUUUUUGAGACAGGGUUUUGCUGUGUAGCUUUGGUGCCUGUCCUGGGUCUCCCUCUGUAGGCCAGGCUGGCCUCAAAUUUACAGAGAUCCACCUGCCUCUGCCUCCCGAGUGCUGGGAUUAAAGGUGUGUGCCACCACUG